GGGGAUAUAGCUCAGUUGGUAGAGUGCUUGCCUAGGGUUCAAUCCCCAGCAAUAAUAAUAAUAAUAAUAAUAAUAAUAAUAAUAAUAAACAAAUAAAACCUGAUUAGGAAAGUUCAUUGUCUCAAAAUCAAGUUUCCCUU
RNAcentral lists this transfer RNA (140 nucleotides) under Marmota monax (woodchuck). RNAcentral describes it as "tRNA.Pro". The record is from RNAcentral. Lineage: Eukaryota; Metazoa; Chordata; Mammalia; Rodentia; Sciuridae.